This 29-nucleotide non-coding RNA is filed under the name Homo sapiens (human). Lineage: Eukaryota; Metazoa; Chordata; Mammalia; Primates; Hominidae. The record is from RNAcentral.
GUGCUCAGUAAGUUCAUGUCAAACGAGUG